CUGAUGGAGACAUCAGCUGCAGCGCGAAGAACCACGUCAGUCACGCACAGAAGACCAUUAGAGUCCAACCCUGUCAUGUGUGUUCAGUGUCUGUGGUGUUUGUGCUGGUCUGGGGUUUCCAGCUGAUGGUUCUGUUGGGUCUGUUAGGAGGUUUUCACAUCUACAUGAGACACACGUCAGAAAAGAAAGAGGAAGAUCAGAAAGUGAGAAUGAGAAGAUUUAGAGAGUGACAUGAACACACAGCAGAAGAUUCAUGAGAGCAGCAGCAGAUCAUCCCAUCUGUGAGAAAUGACUUCAGAAUCUCAGCGAUUCUCACAUCAGUCCAGCUUU
This is a long non-coding RNA of Sinocyclocheilus grahami, 330 nucleotides long. RefSeq lists it as uncharacterized. The record is from RefSeq and is a predicted model, not a curated record. Lineage: Eukaryota; Metazoa; Chordata; Actinopteri; Cypriniformes; Cyprinidae. The transcript is spliced from 3 exons.